RNAcentral lists this ribosomal RNA (463 nucleotides) under uncultured bacterium. RNAcentral's name for it is "partial 16S ribosomal RNA". It matches the Rfam family "Bacterial small subunit ribosomal RNA", at positions 29 to 507 of the family's 1533-position model. The record is from RNAcentral.
AGUGAACGCUGGCGGCGUGCCUAAUACAUGCAAGUCGAACGAUGAAGUCCUAGCUUGCUAGGAUGGAUUAGUGGCGCACGGGUGAGUAAUAUAUAGUUAAUCUGCCCUACACAGAGGAACAACAGUUGGAAACGACUGCUAAUACCUCAUACUCCUAUUUGACAUAAGUUAAAUAGGGAAAGUCUUUUCGGUGUAGGAUGAGACUAUAUCGUAUCAGCUAGUUGGUAAGGUAAUGGCUUACCAAGGCUAUGACGCGUAACUGGUCUGAGAGGAUGAUCAGUCAGAUUGGAACUGAGACACGGUCCAAACUCCUACGGGAGGCAGCAGUAAGGAAGAUUGCGCAAUGGGGGAAACCCUGACGCAGCAACGCCGCGUGGAGGAUGACAUUUUUCGGAGCGUAAACUCCUUUUAUCAGGAAAGAAUAAUGACGGUACCUGAUGAAUAAGCACCGGCUAACUCCGUG